AACGAACGCUGGCGGCAUGCUUAACACAUGCAAGUCGAACGUAGAUCCUUGCCCUUCGGGUGGGGUGAAAGUGGCGGACGGGUGAGUAACGCGUGGGAACCUGCCUGGUGGUUGGGGAUAACUGCGGGAAACUGCAGCUAAACACCCGAUGCGCCCCCGGAGCGAUCCGGGGGAAAGAUUCAUCGCCAUACGGAGGGGCCCGCGUCGGAUUAGGUAGUUGGUGGGGUAACGGCCUACCAAGCCUUCGAUCCGAGCUGGUCUGAGAGGAUGAU
Molecule: ribosomal RNA, 272 nt
Filed under: uncultured bacterium
Lineage: Bacteria
Description: partial 16S ribosomal RNA
Rfam family: Bacterial small subunit ribosomal RNA
Source: RNAcentral